AGUCGAGGGGCAGCAUUUCAGUUUGCUUGCAAACUGGAGAUGGCGACCGGCGCNCGGGUGAGUAACACGUAUCCAACCUGCCGAUAACUCGGGGAUAGCCUUUCGAAAGAAAGAUUAAUACCCGAUGGNAUAAUCAGACCGCAUGGUCUNAUUAUUAAAGAAUUUCGGUUAUCGAUGGGGAUGCGUUCCAUUAGGCAGUUGGUGAGGUAACGGCUCACCAAACCUUCGAUGGAUAGGGGUUCUGAGAGGAAGGUCCCCCACAUUGGAACUGAGACACGGUCCAAACUCCUACGGGAGGCAGCAGUGAGGAAUAUUGGUCAAUGGGCGCAGGCCUGAACCAGCCAAGUAGCGUGAAGGAUGACUGCCCUAUGGGUUGUAAACUUCUUUUAUAUGGGAAUAAAGUUUUCCACGUGUGGAAUUUUGUAUGUACCAUAUGAAUAAGGAUCGGCUAACUCCGUGCCAGCAGCCGCGGUAAUACGGAGGAUCCGAGCGUUAUCCGGAUUUAUUGGGUUUAAAGGGAGCGUAGGUGGACAGUUAAGUCAGUUGUGAAAGUUUGCGGCUCAACCGUAAAAUUGCAGUUGAUACUGGCUGUCUUGAGUACAGUAGAGGUGGGCGGAAUUCGUGGUGUAGCGGUGAAAUGCUUAGAUAUCACGAAGAACUCCGAUUGCGAAGGCAGCUCACUGGACUGCAACUGACACUGAUGCUCGAAAGUGUGGGUAUCAAACAGGAUUAGAUACCCUGGUAGUCCACACAGUAAACGAUGAAUACUCGCUGUUUGCGAUAUACAGUAAGCGGCCAAGCGAAAGCAUUAAGUAUUCCACCUGGGGAGUACGCCGGCAACGGUGAAACUCAAAGGAAUUGACGGGGGCCCGCACAAGCGGAGGAACAUGUGGUUUAAUUCGAUGAUACGCGAGGAACCUUACCCGGGCUUAAAUUGCAUUUGAAUANUNUGGAAACAGNNUAGCCGCAAGGCAAAUGUGAAGGUGCUGCAUGGUUGUCGUCAGCUCGUGCCGUGAGGUGUCGGCUUAAGUGCCAUAACGAGCGCAACCCUUAUCUUUAGUUACUAACAGGUCAUGCUGAGGACUCUAGAGAGACUGCCGUCGUAAGAUGUGAGGAAGGUGGGGAUGACGUCAAAUCAGCACGGCCCUUACGUCCGGGGCUACACACGUGUUACAAUGGGGGGUACAGAAGGCAGCUACCUGGUGACAGGAUGCUAAUCCCAAAAGCCUCUCUCAGUUCGGAUCGAAGUCUGCAACCCGACUUCGUGAAGCUGGAUUCGCUAGUAAUCGCGCAUCAGCCAUGGCGCGGUGAAUACGUUCCCGGGCCUUGUACACACCGCCCGUCAAGCCAUGAAAGCCGGGGGUACCUGAAGUACGAACCGCAG
This 1384-nucleotide ribosomal RNA is filed under the name bacterium NLAE-zl-P391. RNAcentral's name for it is "16S ribosomal RNA". It matches the Rfam family "Bacterial small subunit ribosomal RNA", at positions 60 to 1438 of the family's 1533-position model. The record is from RNAcentral.